Molecule: long non-coding RNA, 727 nt
Filed under: Ananas comosus (pineapple)
Lineage: Eukaryota; Viridiplantae; Streptophyta; Magnoliopsida; Poales; Bromeliaceae
Description: long non-coding RNA (ACOM_LNC033817)
Source: RNAcentral
AUUUCUUGUAAAAAGUGCAACAUUUUUCUGAAACAGUACAACUUCAUCAUAUUUUUCUUCUCUCUGUUUUUUCAUUUUUCUUGUAGAAAAAAUAUUUUUCUUUCUAUUUUAUUUUUUAUUUUCUACAUUUUUUUUCUCGGCUUCGCUCUCAACCGUACUCACUUCGAGUACUCCUUCUCCAGCACCGGUGUCAGUGCUUGCACCGGCAAAGGCAGAGAAAGAGAAUGCGAUACUGUUCUCGUUACCAUCGUGAAAGGUUGAAGAGGACGUGACGCCGUCCUCUUUACUGUAGUAAAGAACUAGGAAGACGGUGGAAGAGGGUCGGAGGGAAAAAGAAAAGAAGGUCACGGCAUGACCUCGGCGGGAUCGGAGGAGAGGAAGGCAGAGAGAGGGUGCUCAAACGAGAGCGAGGGCACGCAAAACAGUGGCAAGGUGGAUUGCCUCCACCUCUGCUGCCCUUUUCAUAGAGAAAGAAAAUUAAAGAAAGAACAAAAGAACAAAAAAAACGAAGAGAGAGAAAAGUUUUUUUUUUGAGAGAGAGAGAUAGAUAAUACGCUACCCUCUUCAUUUAUUUCAUUUAGAAAUAAAUUUAGCUAGAAAUGUGAAUCAACUAGAAUUCGAACUUGGGUCUCGAGUACCAAUCACCAAGCCCUUUACCACUUGCUCUAGGGACGGUCGGUAGGGAGAGAAAAGUUAGUUAGAAUAUUUUGAGUAUUUUAUACAAAUU